RNAcentral lists this long non-coding RNA (1137 nucleotides) under Marmota monax (woodchuck). Lineage: Eukaryota; Metazoa; Chordata; Mammalia; Rodentia; Sciuridae. The record is from RNAcentral.
AGCAAGAGGGGAUGGCGGGAGUGUAAUAUAACCUGGCUUUUGACAGAAUCACUCAGGACAACUGGGGGGCUAUUGGGGUUUUUUUCUCUUUGAAUAUAUAAAAUGAUGUAGUCCCCUUCCCCAGACCUCUCACAGUAAAUGGGCUAUGGUCUGUUGUGCUAGCUGUAUCUUCAUCUCUUUGUUAUAGAAGUGUAGCAAUUUACAUUAACUAAAUUACACUUGAAUUAUAAUUAGAGAAAUUGCUAGUGUAAUUUGUUGCAAAAUAAACAUUUGCAACAAACCCACAUUUAAUAACAGGAACCUUGUUUAUAAGCUUGUGUAUUUUAAAAACAUUUUUCCUAAGGUUGUCAUCAGUUGUACCAGGCACUUCUGCUAAGUGGAGUUAAAACGUGCAUUUUUGUUUCUGGAAUGUUCUUAUCUUUCUUAUAAAUGGAUAACUUACAUCAUUAGCUAGUUAAGCUUUAUUUUAUUUAUUUAUUUAUUUACUUACUUACUUACUUAUUUUGGUACUGGGGAUUGAACCCAGGGGCACUCUACCACUGAACUACAUCCCCAGAUAUUUUUCCUUUUUGUUAUGAGACAAGGUCUUUCUAAGUUGCUGAGGCUGACUUUGAACUUAUAGUCCACCUCCCUUAGCCUCCUGAGUGGCAGAGAUUAUAGGUGUGUAACCAGGGAACAUCAGAAAGGGACAUUGUGCCAGUUGUGGGCCUGGAUGCUCUUGUAACCCUGAGGCCCUCACAUGACAAGUCCCUGCUAUAGAGAAAAGCCCAGCUGCUGCUCCAGCACCCUCACCAUCUGAGCUACCAGACUUGUAAAUGAGGCCAUCUAGAAGAGUCCAACCCUGGCCAAGCUCCUAACUGAAUCAGCCAUGUGCAUGACUCCAGCCAACAACAUAGAGGACAGAAGAAUGACCCAGUUGAGCCAUUGCAGGUGGAUUGGGAUACAGGUGGCUCAAUCUAAAGUGAGAAUAGCAAUGAAGUGAGGAGAAAUAGAACUAAUUUAGGAAACAAAAUUAGUGGGACUCAGAAAUAGAGGUGAUGUUUCUAGCUGUGGAACUCCAGGGCUGGUGCAGGCAAACUGAGCUGGAAGCACCAGAGGACAUGUGGGUUUAGAGAAGGCUGGUGAGUUUGGGUGUGG